Molecule: unclassified non-coding RNA, 5376 nt
Filed under: Leishmania donovani
Lineage: Eukaryota; Euglenozoa; Kinetoplastea; Trypanosomatida; Trypanosomatidae
Description: gene:LdHU3.02.0300(CDS-product:phosphoglycan_beta _13_galactosyltransferase)
Source: RNAcentral
CCCCGCUCACCAGAAGCGCCCCUCCACGCACUCCUGCCUCUGUCUCUACAGGUUCUUGAAUUCGAUACAUUAACUUAUACACACUUCUUAUCACCAAGCCGAAGCCACAGCUGCGCCCGUUGCGGCAGUGCCUCGCAUCGUUCCCCCCUCCUCCCCCUCCUCCCCCUCCCCUUCUUUCCUUCCCUGCAAAGCCGCCACUCUUCUCCGCAUCUCCGUGGCCGCGAGCAGAGGCGCUGGCGACGGCAUCUGCCUUUCCGGCGCCCAUACGUAUACACAUACAUGCAUGUAUGCGUAGUCAAAAGACAGAGAGUUCAGCCGCUCUCGCUUACGUGCGCGUCGCCCUUCGAGGUUGCCCCCCCCCCCCCCCUUCCCCCCUUCCCCCCUUCCCCUCCCUCUUGUGCGAGGCCGCCGCGCCGUCAUUACCGUUGUCGGCCACGUCUGCUCCGCUGAGCAGCCUUUCCCCUCUUUUCUGCUAGUGUGUGUGAGGUGCGCUUCGCCCUCACGCCCAUCCACACAGCGCGCGCAACGGUGGGGAGGACGGCGAGCGAGAGAGAGCGGGCAGCAGCAGACGCUUCUCUGCGGCUGCAUUUCGUCGUCGCAUGGGGUGGGCAACUUAGCAUCCUUGCGCGUCGGCUCAUCAUAUACAUAUAUGUAUAUAUGUAUAUAUAUCGUUGCGCUCCUCUGCACGCUCUCUCGAGGAAUAUUUUUUUCGAGUUUGCUUGCACUUCCGCGUUUUGGCAGAACAGCGCCUAGAUCACGAAAGGCACUGUGCACGUGCGUGGGUGCGGCCCAGCAGAUCCGUGCAUCUAUACGCACACACCGUAGGCACUUGCACUUGAGGUGCGGCGCCGCAUCACACCGCUUGUUGUGCUUCUCUUAGCCCUCCUUUCCCCCUCCCCCGCAUCAUUGUCUGCGCAUCCCGUUGGUCUUCCGCUCCGACUCUCGCUUCGCUUGCUGUUGUUGUUGUGGGGAUUUUGUGUAUUCGUUUUCGCCGCCGCCCCCACUCUUUCGUUCUUCGUCGUCUCCCGCCGCAGUGCUGCUUGCGCUUUUACGUUUGCCGAUCCCGUGCGCUGCGUGCGUGUGCGUGUGCCCGCACCGGUGCAUCUGCCAUCCCGCGCUUGCUUCUACCUCUCUGUUACGCUUGCGUCUUCUGCCUACGCCGCUCAAGAGCUUGCAAUGUCGGAUGGGGAGCACCUCCGGCAGGGCCAUCUUAGCAGCUUAGCUCUGGUGCUGAACCGAUACGGAGCCGACGACGAUGGAGGAGGCGGCGGCCCCACUGCAUACAGGUGUAAGGCAAGCAAGGCCAACGGCGCUCUAGCGAGUAGUGCGACAACCCAGAGCGUCAUGGGUACCGGAAGAACGGACCAGGACGGCUGGAGAGGUGCAUCCUCGCAGCACCCAUCCGGACGCGGCUCGCAGCAUGCAUCUGCCCACACAGUAAACUCGGCACCAACAUUGCCAUUGCCGCCGCAGCCGCCUCACAUGCUCGCGGCGAUGAAGAUAGCGUCCGUCGCCCACACAACACCGGUGCCACCAAUGAAGGCUCACGGAAGCACCUGCUCCAUGUGGGGUGAGCUCCACGUGGCUGCUGCAGCUGCCGCUGUGGAGGGCAGCGUGCGGCCCAACCGACGUGACAGAGCAGGUUUAGAAGAGAACGAUGCCCGACUUCUUCCACUGUUCUUGCCAUCCGCGCCGUCUGCGGCCGCGGCUGCCCCACCAGGCACCUUCAGAGGAAGCAACUGGCACCGUCGGCCGUGCGCGUGCUGGCGGGGGAGAUGCUCGCAGGUGUGGCUGCGGAUGGGCUCCGCUGCCCAGACAGGUCACAGGUGGCUGCGGCGAUGCCUGAGGGGGACGCUCGAGGAUGCAGAGCGAGAGAAAGGUGCCAGUCGACGGCAGAAACGGAAACUCGGGGUGCGAGGGUUUCUCCUGGUCAGCAUUGUCUGCAUCGCGCUCAUGGUCUUCGGCGUCUACAGCUGUGUUGUGCGUCGACUGCGUCGACCCCAUGUGCCGAGCUGGAACGGCACGCUGUCCAUCCUUGUCCAGCACGAGGAUGCGCCGCGGCGCAUGCGCCUCCAGUACUCGCGAAAGGUCAAGUGGAUCCACCUGCCGUCGUGGACGCUGAGGGUGGUGCCGGCACGCUGCGAGGAUUGCCUCGAUCAUGACACGUAUGUGAUCGCGCUGCAGCGGGCUGUCGAUGGACUGGAACGAAUGCAGCGUGAGGACAACGCGAGACAGCGAGCCGAGUUGCAGGCGCCCCAUCAGCAGCAGGAGGGUCACCAGCCAGAUGCCUUUGGAGUCGGUAGCGGCGCCGCCUUUAAUGUUGGUGCACACGGUGAGACAGCGGCGCCGCUCACGACGGCGGCCUUGGAGGAUCUCCUCAAGGCGAAAGGCGGCCCAUACGCGGUGUUCGCCAACAUCGGCGCGCCACUGGGAAAGAUUGGCCCCAUGCUGUUCGCGAUGCGCAGCGUGACCGACGGCGUCGACGUGGAAGCCGAGCUGCCUCGCUGGAAAUGGCUGCGACACGCCAGCAUCUCCUCGGAAGCCCGCGCUGUGAGGCCACCACCCUACAUCGCCGUCAUGGGCAUCCACUCCGCUGACACCGUUUCCCAUGCUCAGCUGCGGGAUGCGCAGCGCAGCACGUGGUUCCGCUACACCGUUGUUGCCCGCAGCGAGAACGACUUUCAAGGACGUCUUCUGCCCCUGUACAUCAUCGCGGCACAGGAGCGCGAGGCGGCGACGGACCCGACAUGGGUAGGCCAGGAUGAAGACACCGGGCCUGCGGCUGCGGCGGAGUUUUAUCGACCGACGCUACAGGAGUUCGCUGACGCGACCAACUUCUACCGCGCACUUGCCGUGUCGCUUUCGAGCGGAGGCGCGGCGCUUGGCGGUUUCUCAUAUCGUCAGCGACGCAUGUCGCUCCGGCCGGAGUGGGGCACAUCGGAUUUGACGAGCUCUCCUUGUGAUCACAUUAUCUCAUCUACGGUGCACGGCAGCGCCGACAGCCCGCGACCACCGCUGGCGGUGCUGGCCGAGCACCUUCGGCUUCCCAUUAUUCCAGCGUUCACCGCGGCAGCGCGCUUCUUGUGCGAGGCGUCGAGCGGUCUUUGGAUGGAGGCUCUUCAGCACAGCGACGUGCUGUGGAUCGAUAUGCUGGCGGACCGCAGAGAGACAGCGAAGACGGAGAGGGGUGACAGCCGCUGGAGGAUGGCGGCGCAGGUGGGCAUGACCCAGAGGACGGUACUGUGGCUGGAGUACGCCUACCACGCCUUCCCUGACGCGCCCUUCAUUGUCAAGAGUUACGAUGACAUAUACAUAAAAGUGCCACAGAUAGUGAGCGACUUCGCCUACGUUUUAAAUGGUCGGCGGCACCGCGACCUCGACGCAAACUUGAUGGACAAUGACGGCAACGCACCGCUUCCCGUCGACGCUGUCAGUGGUGCUGGUGAUACGCUGCGCACCGGCGCCCCACUUGGCUCCGCCUCUCAGCUGCGCCUGCCACACUCACCAGAGAGCGAGUGCGUGCACUGGGGUCUUCGAGAUGAGAAGCGCUUUUUACAGAGGCAACACAUGAUGACUCGCAAACUGGCGCGCGUCGUGUUGGAGAAACCGCAGGAAGCCUACGGAACCAAAGGACUGCGGGACGUGGCGCUGCUGUCCAUGCGCGACUUCAACCCCAUCUUCGCCGACAUCUACACCGAAGUCGCGAUGACCGAGGAGGAUCGCUUUAUCGGAAGCGUUCUGCACGGCCGACGCGCGCGUGCCGCGCAGCUCUGUCCGCAUCGCCGCAUCACGCGCGUAGAGGAAACCAUGUCCCGCUUUCACGAUCUGCGGCGCGACGCCCGUGGUAUCGUGACGUGGGCGUCUGUGGCACUGCACCGCUGCACCCCGGCGGACAUGUACUACUUGCACACGAACUACUUUGUGGAGGAGCACCGGCUGAGCGGCGGCACCACGCCAGCCGAGGCGGCGGCGGCCGAGAAGGCGGCGCAGGAGCGUGGGGCACAGUGGAUACGCGCGAACAUAAACGCCUCGCUGGGGCCCGGCUGGGAUAACCUGAACCCGGUGCUGUGGGUGCCCUACAGCGCACACCCGGAGGAUGCGAAGCCAGGAAUCUUUCUUGUGCAAGACGGUGUGGCCGUGUACAAUAUCACCUUUUAAAAAUGGGAUCGCGACACGCUGAAAGCGGGCGGGCGGGCGGGCGCGUGCGUGCGUGUGUUCAUGAGGGCGCCGUGCGUGAUGGCGGUACGUUACGGGGUCGCGUGCGCAGUUGUCGAGCGAGGUGUGCGGCUCGUGUGUGCGAUGCCCCCUUCCCUUGCGCGCGUUGGAGAGACUUCAGCACCCACGCGUGCCCAGCGCGCACACCUUGCCUGCUCGAUCAGCUAAUCCAGGAAACCUGAGGCGCGCGCUGCAGCGCCACAGGCGCGGUGCUGAACUCCGCAUCAUGGUAAUGGUGAUGGUGGUGGUGGCGGGGGCGUCUGCAGCAGUCGUGGCGUUUCGUGCGUCCUUCCGCCGAGGUGUUCCCCUUGUUUGCUUUCUUCGCGCCUGCGGCUUCCACUGCGGUGGACUGCACUCGUUGCACCCGGCACUCUCCCAGUGCCACGGCUUCUGUGCAUGGCAUGUAAGAAGGAUAAUGAUAUACCUCUCGUUUCACGUUUUUUUUUUGGUGCAUGCCUUCCGCACCAGCGGCGCCUGUGAUGAGGAGGCAGCUGGGCGAUAUCACGGGACUGAAUACUAUAUCGCCUUGGAAUCGACCGGGGUGGGUGGGGUGGUGAGGAGACUCCGGCACUCGCUGAGCGCGGUCUUGCUUAUGCCGGAGGCGCUCGCUUAUCUUCCCGCGCCCCCCCCUGCUUCCUCCUCUCCCCUCCCCUCCGUGCAGGGUGUCGAUGCUCCACAGCCGCGCAAGAACGAAACCAGAAUUGCAACAGACAGAGAGUAGUCUAGGCGCUGAAGUACGGCGUGGAAGAGACGGCGGUGCGCGUGUGCGUGCGUGCGCACCCGUCUGCCGCUUCUUUUUUUCUUUGCGCCCAGGACGCUCCUGGGUAGUAGGUCGAUUGGUGUUCCUCUGCAGGUUGAGUUGCUCACCCCCCGCCCCUUGAUGCACUGACGAGGCGCAGUUGGACUAACAUACCCGAAAACCAAAAAAAAAAGGAAAUUGGACAACGAAAAAGCGUUGCACCCGGCUGUGGACGAGAGCGCUGUCGCGCGUUGCUCAAACAUGGCCUACGACUGCAUGCGCGCGUGCGUGCACGAACGACGGCGCUUGCGCGGUCCUUUUCCAUUCUCCUGCUGCCCGUCCUCCCCCCACUUCCUUCAGCCACGCCGACACGCUUCUCUUCUCUUCUCUCUUCUUCUUCCUCUUGCGGCGCGUCAUGCAAG